GAUGAACGCUGGCGGCGUGCCUAAUACAUGCAAGUCGAGCGAACAGACGAGGAGCUUGCUCCUCUGACGUUAGCGGCGGACGGGUGAGUAACACGUGGAUAACCUACCUAUAAGACUGGGAUAACUUCGGGAAACCGGAGCUAAUACCGGAUAAUAUAUUGAACCGCAUGGUUCAAUAGUGAAAGACGGUUUUGCUGUCACUUAUAGAUGGAUCCGCGCCGCAUUAGCUAGUUGGUAAGGUAACGGCUUACCAAGGCAACGAUGCGUAGCCGACCUGAGAGGGGGAUCGGCCACACGGGAACUGAGACACGGUCCAGACUCCUACGGGAGGCAGCAGUAGGGAAUCUUCCGCAAUGGGCGAAAGCCUGACGGAGCAACGCCGCGUGAGUGAUGAAGGUCUUCGGAUCGUAAAACUCUGUUAUUAGGGAAGAACAAAUGUGUAAGUAACUAUGCACGUCUUGACGGUACCUAAGCAGAAAGCCACGGCUAACUACGU
Molecule: ribosomal RNA, 496 nt
Filed under: uncultured bacterium
Lineage: Bacteria
Description: partial 16S ribosomal RNA
Rfam family: Bacterial small subunit ribosomal RNA
Source: RNAcentral